CUGUCGGGACGACCCAAUAGCGCAUCUGUAUAUCGGGGACGACCCCA
Rheinheimera sp. A13L is the source of this 47-nucleotide non-coding RNA. The record is from Rfam. Lineage: Bacteria; Pseudomonadati; Pseudomonadota; Gammaproteobacteria; Chromatiales; Chromatiaceae.